GGCUGACAUUUCCUACCAAAAGUAUUACAAUCACCAGAAAAGAAAUUCAAAAAAUUGAAUAAUUCAAGGCUGAAAUUCAAAAAAACAAGCAUAAGAAAUAAAAAUCAACAAACACUGAUUACUUUAUCCAGAAUUUCCCAUUUGAAAAAAAAUAUAUAUAUCAUAAUUUGGAUAAAGCUGUAUUAUUUACGCCCAAUAAAUUUUCCAUUUAAAAAAAAAAAAUCAGAAUUGGGAGUUUGGACACAGAAUUGUACAGAGAUUAAUAUGAACAUUCAAUCCGGUGCACACGGUCCCUUAGAAUUCCAUUGUAGAGAGCAAUCCUAUUCGCUGGCAUUCCAUGAGUUCCUGGGAUUUCAUUUCUGCAGAUUCUUGUAAUUGAUUUCUCUUUCUCUUGAUUAGCAAACAAAGACUUCUCUUUCUCCCUUCUGUACUCAUCUCCGUUCCCUUUUGUAUCCUUCACAUUCUCUGCAAAUUUCACGCUUUUCUUCUUCUUCUUCUUCUU
This 502-nucleotide unclassified non-coding RNA is filed under the name Hevea brasiliensis (rubber tree). Lineage: Eukaryota; Viridiplantae; Streptophyta; Magnoliopsida; Malpighiales; Euphorbiaceae. The record is from RNAcentral.